AUUGGCAUGUGCCUGUAGUUCUAGAUACUCGGGGAGGCUGAGACGGGAGGACCAGGUGAGCCCAGAAGUUCUGGGCUGUAGUGGCUCUGCUGAUCACCCAUCUGCACUCAGUUCCACAUCAAUAUAGCGACCUCCUGGGAGCUGGGAACCACCAGGUUGCCUAAGAUGGGGUGAACCAGCCCAGGCUGGAAACAGAGCAGAUCAGAGUAGUGGGAUUGCAUUUGUGUUUAGCUACUGCACUCCAACCUGGGCAACAUAGCAAAACCCCCUCUCUU
Molecule: non-coding RNA, 275 nt
Organism: Canis lupus familiaris (dog)
Lineage: Eukaryota; Metazoa; Chordata; Mammalia; Carnivora; Canidae
Source: Rfam